RNAcentral lists this transfer RNA (78 nucleotides) under Ixodes scapularis (black-legged tick). RNAcentral's name for it is "tRNA-OTHER". It matches the Rfam family "tRNA". From Rfam's summary of the family: Transfer RNA (tRNA) molecules are approximately 80 nucleotides in length. Their secondary structure includes four short double-helical elements and three loops (D, anti-codon, and T loops). Further hydrogen bonds mediate the characteristic L-shaped molecular structure. tRNAs have two regions of fundamental functional importance: the anti-codon, which is responsible for specific mRNA codon recognition, and the 3' end, to which the tRNAs corresponding amino acid is attached (by aminoacyl-tRNA synthetases). tRNAs cope with the degeneracy of the genetic code in two manners: having more than one tRNA (with a specific anti-codon) for a particular amino acid; and 'wobble' base-pairing, i.e. permitting non-standard base-pairing at the 3rd anti-codon position. Lineage: Eukaryota; Metazoa; Arthropoda; Arachnida; Ixodida; Ixodidae. The record is from RNAcentral.
GCAGUCGUGGCCGAGUGGUUAAGGCGAUGGAAAAUCCAUUGGGGUUUCCCAUCGCAGAUGCGAAUCCUGUCAACUGCG